GGGGGUAUAGUUCAGUGGUAGAGCAUUUGACUGCAGAUCAAUAGGUCCUCGGUUCAAAUCCGGGUGCCCCUU
Carassius carassius (crucian carp) is the source of this 72-nucleotide non-coding RNA. NCBI's taxonomy places the organism in Eukaryota, Metazoa, Chordata, Actinopteri, Cypriniformes, Cyprinidae. The record is from the annotation of a RefSeq genome assembly.